CACUCCUACGGGAGGCAGCAGUGGGGAAUUUUGGACAAUGGGCGAAAGCCUGAUCCAGCAAUGCCGCGUGAGUGAAGAAGGCCUUCGGGUUGUAAAGCUCUUUUGUCAGGGAAGAAACGGUGAGAGCUAAUAUCUUUUGCUAAUGACGGUACCUGAAGAAUAAGCACCGGCUAACUACGUGCCAGCAGCCGCGGUAAUACGUAGGGUGCAAGCGUUAAUCGGAAUUACUGGGCGUAAAGCGUGCGCAGGCGGUUUUGUAAGUCUGAUGUGAAAUCCCCGGGCUCGACCUGGGAAUUGCAUUGGAGACUGCAAGGCUAGAAUCUGGCAGAGGGGGGUAGAAUUCCACGUGUAGCAGUGAAAUGCGUAGAUAUGUGGAGGAACACCGAUGGCGAAGGCAGCACCCUGGGUCAAGAUUGACGCUCAUGCACGAAAGCGUGGGGAGCAAACAGGAUUAGAUACCCUAGUAGUCCC
Molecule: ribosomal RNA, 471 nt
Filed under: uncultured organism
Description: partial 16S ribosomal RNA
Rfam family: Bacterial small subunit ribosomal RNA
Source: RNAcentral